RNAcentral lists this ribosomal RNA (503 nucleotides) under uncultured bacterium. RNAcentral describes it as "partial 16S ribosomal RNA". It matches the Rfam family "Bacterial small subunit ribosomal RNA", at positions 30 to 523 of the family's 1533-position model. The record is from RNAcentral.
AUUGAACGCUGGCGGCAGGCUUAACACAUGCAAGUCGAGCGGGGUGAUGGUGCUUGCACUAUCACUUAGCGGCGGACGGGUGAGUAAUGCUUAGGAAUCUGCCUAUUAGUGGGGGACAACAUCUCGCAAGGGAUGCUAAUACCGCAUACGUCCUACGGGAGAAAGCAGGGGAUCACUUGUGACCUUGCGCUAAUAGAUGAGCCUAAGUCGGAUUAGCUAGUUGGUGGGGGAAAGGCCGACCAAGGCGACGAUCUGUAGCGGGUCUGAGAGGAUGAUCCGCCACACUGGGACUGAGACACGGCCCAGACUCCUACGGGAGGCAGCAGUGGGGAAUAUUGGACAAUGGGGGGAACCCUGAUCCAGCCAUGCCGCGUGUGUGAAGAAGGCCUUAUGGUUGUAAAGCACUUUAAGCGAGGAGGAGGCUCUUUUGGUUAAUACCCAAGAUGAGUGGACGUUACUCGCAGAAUAAGCACCGGCUAACUCUGUGCCAGCAGCCGCAGUAA